GCGAUCUUGACUAAUUAUUACUUUUUUUGCCUAAAAUGACUGACAACGGUCAUAUUUAGUGGGUGAUGCUCUUUCGUAAAUUCAUCAGUUGUUCUUCGCUCUAGCACACUCAGACGAGAGUGCUCUGAAAUCGGAGUAGAUAGCCAGAGUGAAUUUGCGAAAGCAAGAGAUAUGCUAACUGGAUAACAGUCAUUCAAGUUCUUUCUAGCUAACCAAAUGACACCUGCGUCUCUAGCUGUGUAUAGCCACCGAGAAACGAUAUGAGGGAAAAAAGUAAUUCACUCACCCACUCCUCCAAUGACAUGACAUCCUCCUAGCAGCUAGCUAUCUAGCUAACGUUAGGCUCCGUGUUUUUAGCUUGCUACAUAAAUAGAUAUGCUAGCCUAUUAGCCACGUUAUAACUGACUUGUAAUCAUUGCCCUUGCUAGUUUGAUUGUAUUGACAUUCCCAGCAUAAACUGGGAAUUUUAUAUUUUUCAAUGAUAUUAUGAUUGUCUGUUUAUUUCAUAUCUGCAAAGUAGUUAAAACGCUGUAGUUCCACUUUAAACUUGGUUCAUUUGUGUGCUAAACUUGAAAUGCUUUUUUUGCAAUGGGAAGUAAUAGGUGUACAUUUCAAUUGGGGAAUGCUUAAUGGUUGUGUUUUUGUAUUCUUAUGAUUGGGACCUACUAGCUUAUUAUGUCCUAGUUUAUGGACUGCUUAUCCUUUAACAUCAUGCUGUGUGUGACUGCUGUUUUUCCAUCGGCCCUAUGCAGUGGUGUAGCGGUGCCUGGUCUGUAUGGAGGAGUGGGCCAAAAUCCCUGCUGCAGUGUGUGCAAACCUGGUCAAGAACUACAGGAAACAUGUGAUCUCUGUAAUUGCAAACAAAGAUUCCGUCUCUUACAGUUGAAGUGUACCUAUGAUAAAAAUUACAGACCUCUACAUGCUUUGGCUCCCUGGUGUCUCUUUAACUGUCAGUUCAGCGGAGGAGGCAGUGUGAACUUCAGUUUGUCACCCCUAACUUUCCUGUCACAGGCGGUCAAAAGAGUAAGUCUUAUAGGCCACAGAGGAUGUAAAGAAGAGAAGAGGGAGUGGCCCACUCGUCCCUGGUCUAAAGUAGUGCACUAUAUAGUGAAUAGGGUGCGAUUUGGAUGCAAACCUAGAGCUAGUCUGCUUCACUGUGUACGCCUAUAGACUUCUCUAUUCUUAGAAGGUGAUGAUGAGUGGAAAAAUGUAUCACUACCCAUGUGAUUUUAAGUGUUAUAGAAGAUCAUCUGUAAUAUCAAUAUGUCGCAAACCAGAUCUAAGGCCAUUAUAAUUGGUCUUCUCCCUCUGCAUCAGACUGGCUGCUAUGUGUAGUAACUCAGCCUGCUUAGAUAUAACAUUACAUUUCAGACUAAUAGGUGUCAUCAAACACAGUUGCUAGUCUCUCUUUCGACCCUCCUCUUGUAAGAUUGUUUAGGGACAGAAAGACAGUUUGCGCCUCCAUUACUAUAUAGUAGGUUGAGUUGAAUAUCUGCCCAGCAACAGUGAUUAUUAGAUGACAUGUGAUUGUGUCCUGAGUCUCUACGCGUUUAAAUAGACAGUCCAAUUCUGAUAUUUUAACCAAUCGGACGAGCUCUGAAAAAGACAAGAUGUCAAAAGAUCUGAUAUGAUUGGUUAGUGGGACCAAUCAGUGGGAAAAAGUUCAGAAUUGGGCUGAAUGUCUAAACGCAGCCUAUGGCUCAAAUUAUGUUUUAUUCAGCCUGUUUCCUGUAUUUGAUGUCUUAUUCAGCCUGUUUCCUGUAUUUGAUGUCUUAUUCAGCCUGUUUCCUGUAUUUGAUGUCUUAUUCAGCCUGUUUUCUGUAUUUGAUGUCUUAUUCAGCCUGUUUCCUGUAUUUGAUGUCUUAUUCAGCAUGUUUGAUUUGAUUUGCCUGAAUUUGAAAACCAAACGCAUAGAAAUAAAAUGACAUGAAUGUAGCUCUAAACUCCAUAUUAUAUUCUUCACACUCCAAUAUGGUGGCCGAGCAUCCCACUUGGAUCAUAGCAUUUAAAUUAGAAUAUCUAUUGUACUGCAUUUCUAGCUACAUGGACCUGGCCUGCAGACUGUUGUGAUGGCACAGAUAGCCAGCCCACCGUGCAGCCCACUGCUGUGUCUGGUAUCUCACACUAAGGUGAGAGAGGAGGGGAUAGAGGAGGGAUGGC
This is a long non-coding RNA of Oncorhynchus tshawytscha (Chinook salmon), 2160 nucleotides long. The record is from Ensembl. NCBI's taxonomy places the organism in Eukaryota, Metazoa, Chordata, Actinopteri, Salmoniformes, Salmonidae.